AAGUCUAUUGUUAUUAUUCAUAUUAAUUUUUAAAGGUUUUUAAAUUUUAUGCUAGUUUAUUUUAAAAAUAAGUAUUCGUCAUAUUUUAGGAAUAGAUAAUAAUAAUUUAUAAUUUUGAUUAGAUAUAUUUGUUAAUGCUAUGCAAUGGGUGUGGAAAUAUUUUUAAAAUUUAAUAAAAAUAUUAUUACAAUAAAUUACAUUUACAUAUUAGUCAGAAAUGGAUGCCAGCCGUUGCGGUAAUUUCUAUGCUUUUAAAUAUUAUACAUUUAUCAUAAAAUAUUGUUAUUUUUAUACUUUAACAAAAAAAUAAAAACACAUAUCUUUUUUGUUUUUAAACACCUUUUGGUAUAUGCAAAUACAAAAUUAUAGUAAUUAUAUAUUAUAUUAUAUUAUAUUUAUUCAUAUAAUUAAUGCAUAAAGAGUAAUUAAAUUUGAUACCAUGCUAAGGCGAAAAUAUUGAAAUUGUAAAUGUUAUAAUCAAAAGUUAUUAUUUAUAUAAAAUUUUAAAUUGUAGAUAAAAUAAUAAAUUCAAAAGGUAUUGUUGCCCACCAAUUUUUAUAAUAAAAAUAACGUGCAGUAAUUAAUAUAUUUAUAAAAAUAUAUUUU
RNAcentral lists this ribosomal RNA (606 nucleotides) under Trypanosoma cruzi. RNAcentral's name for it is "partial 9S ribosomal RNA". It matches the Rfam family "Trypanosomatid mitochondrial small subunit ribosomal RNA". The record is from RNAcentral. Lineage: Eukaryota; Euglenozoa; Kinetoplastea; Trypanosomatida; Trypanosomatidae.